Molecule: ribosomal RNA, 517 nt
Filed under: Macaca assamensis (Assam macaque)
Lineage: Eukaryota; Metazoa; Chordata; Mammalia; Primates; Cercopithecidae
Description: partial 12S ribosomal RNA
Rfam family: Bacterial small subunit ribosomal RNA
Source: RNAcentral
ACUAUGCUUGGCCCUAAACCUCAGUAGUUAAAUAACAAAACUACUCGCCAGAAUACUACAAGCAACAGCUUAAAACUCAAAGGACUUGACGGUGCUUUACACCCCCUAGAGGAGCCUGUUCCGUAAUCGAUAAACCCCGAUCCACCCCACCCUCUCUUGCUCAGCCUAUAUACCGCCAUCUUCAGCAAACCCUGAUAAAGGCCACAAAGUGAGCGCAAACGCCACCACCGCGAAGACGUUAGGUCAAGGUGUAGCCCAUGAGACGGUAAAAAAUGGGCUACAUUUUCUAUCUCAGAAAACUCUACGAAAGCCCUUAUGAAAUCUGAGGGCCCAAGGAGGAUUUAGCAGUAAAUUAAGAAUAGAGUGCUUAGUUGAACCAGGCCAUAAAGCGCGCACACACCGCCCGUCACUCCUCUCAAAUAUAUUCAAGGAAUAUCUUAACUAAACGCCCUAAUGUUUAUAUAGAGAGGAUAAGUCGUAACAUGGUAAGCGUACUGGAAGGUGCGCUUGGAUAAAU